Molecule: long non-coding RNA, 1098 nt
Filed under: Canis lupus familiaris (dog)
Lineage: Eukaryota; Metazoa; Chordata; Mammalia; Carnivora; Canidae
Description: lncRNA (ENSCAFG00040022156.1)
Source: RNAcentral
AUGAGCACCGCGGCUGGAGUCGGGCUGCGGGCGGCUGCGGCCGCGGGAGUCGGCAAAAGUUUGUGGCUCAGUCGCACCUUCGCGGGACCUGCUGUGGACGCCCCCGCGCGGCCUCCCCCGGGACGGGGCACCGGGCCGUCCCCGCGCACGCCGCGCGUCCUCGGAGCCCAGCGCCUGAGCCGCCGGGGCGGGGCGGGGCAGGCGGGGGGUCCCGGGAGUCCCAGACCCGCAGCUGCAGGACGGGCGAGCCCCGCCGCCCUCCCCGCCUCCGCGCCACGGCCUCCGGGCGGAGCCGCUCGGGAUGCCCGCGGCGCAGCGAGCGCUCCGGGGCCGCCGCCCGGGGAGGCCCCCCGCCCCCCGCGCGGCCCGCUCGCCCGUCCGCGCCGCGGCACCCCUGCCCCCCGGGGCGCGCGGGCCAUUGUUCCGGGCCCGCGGGCGGCGGCCUUCCCUGCGCGGGCUGCGGCGCGGCGGGCCCCGGACGGCCGGCUCCGCGCGGAGGGGGAGCUCCCGGGCACCGGGAAAAGUUGCUCGGAGGGGCGGAGGCGGUGGGUGGUGGGUGGUGGGCGGAGGCGGUGGGUGGGGGAGGCGAUAGUCCUCCUAUCUCCAAAGUCGAAAGUACUCGGCGCAGUUAGCAGAACCGGGAGCCGAGGCAGCCGCGCUCGCCUGCUGCGCGUCGGGCUGCGCCUCCGCGGGGAGACCGGGGAGACCAGGCAGCCGCGCCCGCCGAGCCGCCGCCGCCGCCGCCGCCGCCCCCGCGCCGGGACCAGUGCGCCUCGGGGCCGGGCGAGGCGGCCGCGCCCCGGACCCGCCGCGAGGAGGAGGAGCGGACCCGAGCCCCGGCGGCGCCCGGGCGCACCCGCACCCGCACCCACCCGCACCCGCACCCGCCGGCCCGGCCGCCGCCCCGCGCGGCUCUCGCUCCUCUGCCAUCGCUCCUCCGCCGCCCCACGCGCGCGGUCCUCGCCCCGCGGCUGCGCUGCCGCCGACUCCCCGCUUCCUCCUCCGCCCUCCUCCCUGCUUCCCACCCGCCCCUCGCCAGCCCCUCUGCCUCCUCCGCAGCCCCGCCGCUGUUUGGGUCGCCGGGCUCACAGCGAUUGA